RNAcentral lists this ribosomal RNA (497 nucleotides) under uncultured bacterium. Its description in RNAcentral is "partial 16S ribosomal RNA". It matches the Rfam family "Bacterial small subunit ribosomal RNA", at positions 28 to 507 of the family's 1533-position model. The record is from RNAcentral.
GAUGAACGCUGGCGGCGUGCCUAAUACAUGCAAGUCGAGCGAACGGACGAGAAGCUUGCUUCUCUGAUGUUAGCGGCGGACGGGUGAGUAACACGUGGAUAACCUACCUAUAAGACUGGGAUAACUUCGGGAAAUCGGAGCUAAUACCGGAUGAUAUUUUGAACCGCAUGGUUCAAAAGUGAAAGACGGUCUUGCUGUCACUUAUAGAUGGAUCCGCGCUGCAUUAGCUAGUUGGUAAGGUAACGGCUUACCAAGGCAACGAUGCAUAGCCGACCUGAGAGGGUGAUCGGCCACACUGGAACUGAGACACGGUCCAGACUCCUACGGGAGGCAGCAGUAGGGAAUCUUCCGCAAUGGGCGAAAGCCUGACGGAGCAACGCCGCGUGAGUGAUGAAGGUCUUCGGAUCGUAAAACUCUGUUAUUAGGGAAGAACGUAUGUGUAAGUAACUGUGCACAUCUUGACGGUACCUAAUCAGAAAGCCACGGCUAACUACGUG